UAUUAGCUUCAGCCCCCGUCUCCACCCCCCUCUCCGAUUCGAAAUCCUAGUCCUCUCUCAGGAACUUCUCCGCCUCAUCCACCGCCUCUCUAGGCUCUUCCAUAUUCCGUGCCUCCUUCCCCGUUCGGAUACCGACUCUCCACCGAUUUAAACCCCUCCCCUCCCCCUCCCCGAUCCAUCGCCAAACUGACUCUCACUCCCUCAUAGAUCCCUCUUCUCCCCCUCCUCCUCCUCCUCCUCCUCGUCCUUCGGCUUCAUCACCGACGGUCUCCUCCUCCUCCGGCCUCUCUGCCCCUCUGCCUCGCUUCUCCUCCUCUCUUUGUCCUCCUCCUCCUCUGGCCUCAUCGCCGACAGUCUCCUCCUCCUCCGACCUCUCCGCCCCUCCACCUCACUCCUCCUCCUUUCUUUGGGGUUUGAUUCGAAGGAGUUUUGCGUGUAACUAGUUCUACACCAUCGGUUGUCGAUCGUCGUCGCGCCGCUGGCGGAGGAGGCGGACUGCAUUCUGUCGGGCGAGCUUAGCCUGCUUCCUGAUCAGAUCCCAGACUCUAUUUACUUGGAUUCGGACUCUGUAUUUUAAUCAAGUGCAUGGUAGCAAUCAAGUUGAGCAGGAGUUUCCUUGUUGGGUAUAGCAGUAACUGGACAAGUCACCUUAUAUGACAAGGUUGAUUGGGAUACAGGGAUGCUGAGCUGCUGAGAUUAAAGGAAUUGUUUUAGAGAGUCAAAGUGUCAAGAGUAUCUGGUUUCCUGCAAAUUUUUGGUUGCUCAGAGAUGAGCAAACCACAUCAUUCGACCCAAUCUAAGGAUUGAGCAAUGAUAGUUGAUUGAGUUAUUCCCUGAACGGCUUUUUAAACAGGUGACAUCAUGCCUCGAUGCAGACAGUCCCAGCAGUCUGAGGCCGGUCCUUCGUCAUUCCCACAGCAGUCUGAUGCUGAUCCUUCUGAGUCACAGUCGGAUUCUCCUACUGAGGAGAAUCCUGUUAUGGAUGAAAUACAUUCCAAGAAAAGCACAGAUUAGAUGUGGACCCAUACGGGCUAGAGAUAUUUGGCACUUAUCUGAGGGUGAGAGGGUCGUCAUCCGAUGCAAUCGGAUGGGGCAGCUCGUCAACAAGUCGGCUAGAUUGUUGACGAGCUUCUUAGAUACUGUUGUACAGAAGGGUCAGCUUUGUCCUUUGAAUUAUUC
Long non-coding RNA from Elaeis guineensis (African oil palm), 1179 nucleotides. RefSeq lists it as uncharacterized. The record is from RefSeq and is a predicted model, not a curated record. NCBI's taxonomy places the organism in Eukaryota, Viridiplantae, Streptophyta, Magnoliopsida, Arecales, Arecaceae.